RNAcentral lists this ribosomal RNA (561 nucleotides) under uncultured bacterium. RNAcentral's name for it is "bacterial SSU rRNA". It matches the Rfam family "Bacterial small subunit ribosomal RNA", at positions 338 to 916 of the family's 1533-position model. The record is from RNAcentral.
CCUACGGGAGGCAGCAGUGGGGAAUAUUGGACAAUGGGCGAAAGCCUGAUCCAGCAAUGCCGCGUGAGUGAUGAAGGCCUUCGGGUCGUAAAGCUCUUUUACCAGGGAUGAUAAUGACAGUACCUGGAGAAUAAGCUCCGGCUAACUCCGUGCCAGCAGCCGCGGUAAUACGGAGGGAGCUAGCGUUGUUCGGAAUUACUGGGCGUAAAGAGUACGUAGGCGGUUAUUCAAGUCAGAGGUGAAAGCCCGGGGCUCAACCCCGGAACUGCCUUUGAAACUAGAUAACUAGAGUCUUGGAGAGGUUAGUGGAAUUCCGAGUGUAGAGGUGAAAUUCGUAGAUAUUCGGAAGAACACCAGUGGCGAAGGCGACUAACUGGACAAGUACUGACGCUGAGGUACGAAAGCGUGGGGAGCAAACAGGAUUAGAUACCCUGGUAGUCCACGCCGUAAACGAGUGAUAACUAGUUGUUCGGUCACUUGGUGACUGAGUGACGCAGCUAACGUCAUUAAGUUAUCCGCCUGGGGAGUACGGUCGCAAGAUUAAAACUCAAAGAUUGACGG